GAUGAACGCUGGCUACAGGCUUAACACAUGCAAGUCGUGGGGAAACGGCAUUAUGUGCUUGCACAUUCUGGACGUCGACCGGCGCACGGGUGAGUAUCGCGUAUCCAACCUGCCCCUUACUUGGGGAUACCCCGUUGAAAGACGGCCUAAUACCCGAUGUGUUUCAUUGACGGCAUCCGAUAUGAAACAAAGGUUUUUCCGGUAAGGGAUGGGGAUGCGUCUGAUUAGCUAGUUGGCGGGGCAACGGCCCACCAAGGCGACGAUCAGUAGGGGUUCUGAGAGGAAGGUCCCCCACAUUGGAACUGAGACACGGUCCAAACUCCUACGGGAGGCAGCAGUGAGGAAUAUUGGUCAAUGGACGCAGGUCUGAACCAGCCAAGUAGCGUGCAGGAUGACGGCCCUAUGGGUUGUAAACUGCUUUUAUGUGGGAAUAAAUUGGCGCACGUGUGCGCCAUUGCAUGUACCUCAUGAAUAAGGACCGGCUAAUUCCGUGCCAGCAGCCGCGGUAAUACGGAAGGUCCGGGCGUUAUCCGGAUUUAUUGGGUUUAAAGGGAGUGUAGGCGGUCUGUUAAGCGUGUUGUGAAAUUUAGGUGCUCAACAUUUAACUUGCAGCGCGAACUGUCAGACUUGAGUACACGCAGCGCAGGCGGAAUUCAUGGUGUAGCGGGUGAAAUGCUUAGAUAUCAUGAGGAACUCCGAUCGCGAAGGUAGCCUGCGGGAGUGUUACUGACGCUUAAGCUCGAAGGUGCGGGUAUCAAACAGG
This 763-nucleotide ribosomal RNA is filed under the name Prevotella nigrescens. RNAcentral's name for it is "bacterial SSU rRNA". It matches the Rfam family "Bacterial small subunit ribosomal RNA", at positions 28 to 776 of the family's 1533-position model. The record is from RNAcentral. Lineage: Bacteria; Pseudomonadati; Bacteroidota; Bacteroidia; Bacteroidales; Prevotellaceae.